CCAUGCACGUACAAGUUCAAGCUAAAUUAGCAACACCGCGAAAGGCUCAUUAAAAACUCAUAAUUUAAAUGAGAAAACAAUAGGAUAACUCUGGUAAUUCUGGAGCUAAUACUAUAUAAUAGAGUUAAUCAAAGGGGGAAAAAAGAUUGACUACGAUACCUAUAAGGGUACAUCAUAUAAAUAUGUAGCUUUAUCAUACUAGUUGGUAGCAUAGGGGGCUACCAAGGUAUUGACAGGUAACGGGGAAUUGGGGUUUGAUUCCGGAGAUGGAGCCUGAGAAAUAGCUGCAACUUCCAAGGAAGGCAGCAGGCGCGCAAAUUACCCAAUUUUAGCAUAGAGAGGUAGUGACAAGAUGUGGCAUAUUAUAUGCAGCAUCCCGGUAGUAAAAACACUGGGAAUUAAUUAGAGGGAAAGUCUGGUGCCAGCAGCCGCGGUAAUUCCAGCUCUAAUAGUGUAUGUUUUGAUUGCUGCAGUUAAAACGCUCGUAGCCGACAGGUCUAUUAGAAAUAAUAGAAGGACCAUGAGCAAAACAAAGCGCUCAAGGCAGGCAUAAGCCUGAAUGAACAGCAUGGGACCAAAGUAGACAACACACUGGUGGCGUGAGGACUGGUUGGGGAGGGGUGAAAUCCAUAGAUCCAAUCAAGACUAGCAGAGGCGAAGGCGGUCGUCACAGAGUGGUUGGUUGGCAAAGAGCAAAAGUUGAGGGAGCAAAAACGAUUAGAUACCGUUGUAGUCUCAACCGUAAGCGAUGCCGGCGCUUUGUUUGAGGAAAUUAAGCAAAGAGGAGAAAUCUAUGAGCCAGGUUCUGGGGGGAGUAUGGUCACAAGACUGAAACUUGAAAGAAUUGACGGAAGGGCACCACCAGGAGUGGAGCGUGCGGUUUAAUUUGACUCAACACGGGGAAACUUACCAGUCCCGACACUUUUAGGAAUGACAGGCUAAAGGUCUUUCACGAGAAGUGAGUAGUGGUGCAUGGCCGUUCUUUGUUGGUGGAGUUAUUUGUCUGGUUGAUUCCGAUAACGAGCGAGACGGGAGCCUUAUGUUAAACUUAAGGGACUAGUGUUGCAAAACACGGGAAGCCCCGCGAUAACAGGUCUGUGAUGCCCUUGGAUGGUCUGGGCGACACGCGCGCUACACUGCAUGCAGCAACAAGCCUAGUUUGGUUUUAGCAAACCGAAUAAACAAGAGGUGCAUGCGUGGUGAGGAUUAUCCAGUGGAAGAGGAUAUGAAUGAGGAAUUCCUUGUAAGCAUGUGUCAGCAGCACGUGCUGAAUGCGUCCCUGCCCUUUGUACACACCGCCCGUCGCUACUACCGAUGGGUGGUCAAGCUAGAGUGCUGGAUAGCAAGGCAUAGCGAGCUUGGCUGCCUAGAGGAAGUACAAG
This 1382-nucleotide ribosomal RNA is filed under the name Neozygites floridana. Its description in RNAcentral is "partial small subunit ribosomal RNA". It matches the Rfam family "Eukaryotic small subunit ribosomal RNA". Lineage: Eukaryota; Fungi; Entomophthoromycota; Neozygitomycetes; Neozygitales; Neozygitaceae. The record is from RNAcentral.